CGGUAAGGAGGAAGACCUGACCCACGGCCAGAACAAUCCAAGCAGCCCGAAACACCAAUAAAAUUGUUUUUGUAAUCUGGGAGUUACUGUAACUGGUUGAGAAAAUCUAUUCCGAACUGCACAUGAAGAUACUAAGUGUUGGCAUUACGCUGAAGCACCGUCCAGAGUUGCAGCCUUUGAGGACAUCCCAGACACUUUUGUCCUUGGGGGCAAUCACAGCGGUCCACCCGGCAGCGCUCAGGAAUACUGCAGUUUCAUGUCCAAGUGCUUGGGACUUCUAACAUUGCAAAUCAAAGGCAGUAUGAUCAGAGAUGCCAAGAGGGAUAAAAAUGGGCUCCUUUUUCCCCCCUACAGUUGGAAUUUCUGAAGCGAAAGUGCUGAGUUCCCCCUCUGAAUUGACCAGAGAAUAUACGAAUAUUAGAUAAGCUUCAAGCAGGCAUGAGUUACAACGCCAUUGGCCACGAAUUCAGUGUUAAUGAAUCAACGAUGUGGUACAUCCAGAAAAAGGAAGGGGAGAUUCGCCAAUCUAUAUGAGGCUCUUCCAGAAAAUGCUGGAGUAUCAUCUAUAGUGUAUGAUGAAGCUGUGGAAAAGAUGGGAAAGCAGCUACGUUUGUGGAUUCACGGGGUGAAGACCAAUAAAAGCACAGUGGAUGGCAUUGUUAUGAGACUGAAAGCCAAAGAAAUUGACAGUCAUGUUACCCAGGGUCAGGAAGAUGUUAAGCCCUUCUCGGUUAGUGCAGGCUGGCUUGAUGUUCCAGAUGGCGAAACAGCAUGAACAGUUUUAAGCUUGCUGUUGAGGCAGGUUCUGCAGAUCAAGAGGCUGCAGAAGAAUUUUCUAAAUCCCUGCUAAGCAUUGUACAUGAAAAACGUCACAUUGAAGAAAAGGUUUUCAAUGCUGAUGAGACUGGAUGGUUUUAUAAGAACGUUGGUAAAUGAACCUAUGUAAUGCAAGUAGCUACCAAAGCCCCUGGCUUGAAAUGAUGCAAAGCCCAUGCAACCCUGCUACUGUAUACCAAUGCCAAGGGUGACUUUAAGUGCAAGCCCUAACGGUGUAUGGAGCCCAGAGCCACAAGCACUUGGAGGUAAAGAGAUGAGCUGUGCCAGCCCACUGGAGGUGGGGUGAGCAGAAAUGGCAUCAGGAUUACUCCAGGGUUGCUUCCAUAAUUGCUUCAGCCCAGAAGCAGAACGCUACCUCAAGGGCAAGAGCCUUGCCUUCAGGGUUUUAUUCAUUUUGGAUAAUGCCCCACAUUGCCACGAAGAACUCGAAAAUGCCCACUCCAGCAUAGCGGUUCUUUCCAUGCCCCCAAAUACUACAUCUCAUCCAGCCCCUCAAUCAGGGCAUAAUCAAAGCUUUCAAGGCAGACUGCAUGGGGGGCUUUACAGUAGGGCUUACGAGGUUCCUGAGGCUAAUGAUGAAAACACUGCGCUAGACUAUUGGAAAUCAGUCACCAUAUGCAGUGUGGCUCACAGCCUGGGACUGUGUCAAGCAAGCUACUACCAAUAACUCUGGGGAAAUGGCCGGACUGUGAGAAAUUUCAGACUUCAAAGGUGUUACAGAAAAUAUAACGGACAGUGUCAAAAAUAUAUUGCAUGUUGCACAGCAGAUAAGUGAAGAAGGUUUCAACGACAUGAUAGAAGAUGUAGAGGAAAUUUUGGCAGAGAAGGCAGUAGAGCCCACCAACAGAGACCUGGACAACAUGGCAAACCACGGCAUCCGAGGCAGGGAUGAAAGUCAGCCUGAGAUGCCAAGAAUUGUCCCUUCCACAAUGGCCAAGAUAUCAGAAUGGAAUUCUGCCUUGGAAAAAAUGUUGGUGACAUGGAAGAAUGUGACCCUGUGCUUGAGCGCAGCCUCACAUUUAAACACCUGGCUUCUGCAUUUGUCCCUUAUUCCCAGAUGCUUAGAGAUUUGAGACAGAAAGCCAGGCAGACAAGGCUGAAGCAGUUUUUCAAGCCAGUUUUAAAGGGAAAGUUGGCAACACUGUCAAGUCACUAAAGCCAAGCUCGUGAGGUAGAUAGGUUAGGUUACAACACGCCCCCCUCAUUUGGCGUCUUCCUCUUCUACAGAGUAAGUUUCCUCAGCCUCUCCUCUGGUUUUCAUGGGUGAGCCAAAGUUUAGAGGUUAAACCACAGGGCAUUAACCAUCACACAUCCUUGUAGCUCCAUCCAGUCAUUUUAGUUCAUGUUUUUAUAAAACUGAAAGCUUCAUCUUUGUUUAAUGAUUUUUUUCAGAGCCACCUAUCCCUGCCUUGCUGUACUAUAGAGUAUACAAUCUGUUCACAGUGCCGUAUGUGUGCUGCGUGUGGCUUUCUGAGUGCCGUGCAUGUCAUUGUAAUGUACGUUAUAUAAUGCUGCAAUUGAAACAUGUUUUAUUAUGAGAAGCACUGCAUAUAACUAUUAUUUUUAAAAAAGUAUAUUCAAUAAGCUGUAUUUAGACAAAAACACACAUAAAAUAUUAUGCAUUGAUUGGUUGACAGAAUGUGACCAGCGACCUGCAGAAACCUAAACCCUGUAUUUCCCCCUAGAAGUAAUGUUGCAGCCUUUGUUCAGUGUUCAGUGUAACUUUAUAGACCACAACUACCAUAAGUGAUUUAAUUGUUCCGGGUUGUCUAAUGGUUUAAUACAACUAUUACUACUACAGAAAUGGUGGGAACAAUAUGUUACAGUUUCUGAUGACUAUUAAAUAUAAAAUGAAAAAAGUGAUUUGGGAAUGUACACCUUAAUGAAAUGUAUGGGGCUUUCUGUUUUAAUUCGUUUAUUUGCCAUGGAUGAGUAUCCGUUUUUGCUAGCGAUAUGGUACGUCAUUAGUUGUCUUCCUACCUGAGUUUUUCAUCCGUUUGUUUUUAUUUUAACACAUGAGAAACCUUGUUCAUUAAAAUAAAUUUUAAAAAGCAGAUGGUAAUGGAAGUUUUGCUGUGAUGUAACUUAAUUCUUCAAGGCCUUCUGAGUUACAUAGCCUAAGUCCAGAUAUGAUCUGUCGUAAAUAAAAAGUUUUAAGUCAUCAGA
Tupaia belangeri chinensis (Chinese tree shrew) is the source of this 3003-nucleotide long non-coding RNA. RefSeq lists it as uncharacterized. The record is from RefSeq and is a predicted model, not a curated record. NCBI's taxonomy places the organism in Eukaryota, Metazoa, Chordata, Mammalia, Scandentia, Tupaiidae. The transcript is spliced from 2 exons.